RNAcentral lists this non-coding RNA (23 nucleotides) under Arabidopsis thaliana (thale cress). The record is from RNAcentral. Lineage: Eukaryota; Viridiplantae; Streptophyta; Magnoliopsida; Brassicales; Brassicaceae.
GGGGUUGACCGGAUCAGCCGAUA